GUACGGGAGGCAGCAGUGGGGAAUUGUUCGCAAUGGGCGCAAGCCUGACGACGCAACGCCGCGUGGAGGACGAAGAUCUUCGGAUCGUAAACUCCUGUCGAGCGGGACGAACGGUUCCGCACCUAACACGUGCGGGAAGUGACGGUACCGCUAAAGGAAGCCCCGGCUAACUCCGUGCCAGCAGCCGCGGUAAUACGGGGGGGGCAAGCGUUGUUCGGAAUUACUGGGCGUAAAGGGCUCGUAGGCGGCCAACUAAGUCGGACGUGAAAUCCCUCGGCUUAACCGGGGAACUGCGUCUGAUACUGGAUGGCUUGAAUCCGGGAGAGGGAUGCGGAAUUCCAGGUGUAGCGGUGAAAUGCGUAGAUAUCUGGAGGAACACCGGUGGCGAAGGCGGCAUCCUGGACCGGCAUUGACGCUGAUGAGCGAAAGCCAGGGGAGCAAACGGGAUUAGAUACCCCUGUAGUCC
RNAcentral lists this ribosomal RNA (466 nucleotides) under uncultured bacterium. RNAcentral describes it as "bacterial SSU rRNA". It matches the Rfam family "Bacterial small subunit ribosomal RNA", at positions 339 to 796 of the family's 1533-position model. The record is from RNAcentral.